UGAGGAAUAUUGGGCAAUGCCCGAAAGGGUGACCCAGCAACGCCGCGUGGAGGAUGAAUGCCGUAAGGUUGUAAACUCCUGUUAGAGGGGAAGAACAAUCCCGAUCGACUCGGGAUCUGACUGUACCCUCAGAGAAAGCCCCGGCUAACUACGUGCCAGCAGCCGCGGUAAUACGUAGGGGGCAAGCGUUGUCCGGAUUUACUGGGUGUAAAGGGCGCGCAGGUGGGUUUGCAAGUCAGAGGUGAAAUCUCACGGCUUAACCGUGAAAGUGCCCUUGAUACUGCAAAUCUUGAGUUCGGAAGAGAGAGACGGAAUUCCAGGUGUAGUGGUGAAAUACGUAGAUAUCUGGAAGAACACCAGUUGCGAAGGCGGUCUCUUGGUCCGAUACUGACACUCAGGCGCGAAAGCGUGGGUAGCAAACAGGAUUAGAUACCCUGGUAGUCCACGCUGUAAACGAUGAAUACUAGGUGUUGGCCCUUUUAGGGUCAGUGCCGCAGCUAACG
This 503-nucleotide ribosomal RNA is filed under the name uncultured bacterium. RNAcentral describes it as "bacterial SSU rRNA". It matches the Rfam family "Bacterial small subunit ribosomal RNA", at positions 355 to 857 of the family's 1533-position model. The record is from RNAcentral.